RNAcentral lists this ribosomal RNA (253 nucleotides) under uncultured bacterium. Its description in RNAcentral is "partial 16S ribosomal RNA". It matches the Rfam family "Bacterial small subunit ribosomal RNA", at positions 524 to 776 of the family's 1533-position model. The record is from RNAcentral.
UACAGAGGGGGCAAGCGUUGUUCGGAAUUACUGGGCGUAAAGGGCGCGUAGGCGGCCCGCUAAGUCGAACGUGAAAUCCCUGGGCUCAACCCAGGAACUGCGUCCGAUACUGGAAGGCUUGAAUCCGGGAGAGGGAUGCGGAAUUCCAGGUGUAGCGGUGAAAUGCGUAGAUAUCUGGAGGAACACCGGUGGCGAAGGCGGCAUCCUGGACCGGUAUUGACGCUGAGGCGCGAAAGCUAGGGGAGCAAACGGG